This 566-nucleotide ribosomal RNA is filed under the name bacterium T-1-0-8E. Its description in RNAcentral is "bacterial SSU rRNA". It matches the Rfam family "Bacterial small subunit ribosomal RNA", at positions 388 to 945 of the family's 1533-position model. The record is from RNAcentral.
GGAGCAACGCCGCGUGAGUGAAGAAGGUUUUCGGAUCGUAAAACUCUGUUGUAAGGGAAGAACAAGUACGGUAGUAACUGGCCGUACCUUGACGGUACCUUAUUAGAAAGCCACGGCUAACUACGUGCCAGCAGCCGCGGUAAUACGUAGGUGGCAAGCGUUGUCCGGAAUUAUUGGGCGUAAAGCGCGCGCAGGCGGUCCUUUAAGUCUGAUGUGAAAGCCCACGGCUCAACCGUGGAAGGUCAUUGGAAACUGGGGGACUUGAGUGCAGAAGAGGUUAGUGGAAUUCCAAGUGUAGCGGUGAAAUGCGUAGAGAUUUGGAGGAACACCAGUGGCGAAGGCGACUAACUGGUCUGUAACUGACGCUGAGGCGCGAAAGCGUGGGGAGCAAACAGGAUUAGAUACCCUGGUAGUCCACGCCGUAAACGAUGAGUGCUAAGUGUUAGGGGGUUUCCGCCCCUUAGUGCUGCAGUAAACGCAUUAAGCACUCCGCCUGGGGAGUACGGCCGCAAGGCUGAAACUCAAAGGAAUUGACGGGGGCCCGCACAAGCGGUGGAGCAUGUGGU